GAUGAACGCUGGCGGCGUGCCUAAUACAUGCAAGUCGAGCGAACGGACGAGAAGCUUGCUUCUCUGAUGUUAGCGGCGGACGGGUGAGUAACACGUGGAUAACCUACCUAUAAGACUGGGAUAACUUCGGGAAACCGGAGCUAAUACCGGAUGAUAUUUUGAACCGCAUGGUUCAAAAGUGAAAGACGGUCUUGCUGUCACUUAUAGAUAGAUCCGCGCUGCAUUAGCUAGUUGGUAAGGUAACGGCUUACCAAGGCAACGAUGCAUAGCCGACCUGAGAGGGUGAUCGGCCACACUGGAACUGAGACACGGUCCAGACUCCUACGGGAGGCAGCAGUAGGGAAUCUUCCGCAAUGGGCGAAAGCCUGACGGAGCAACGCCGCGUGAGUGAUGAAGGUCUUCGGAUCGUAAAACUCUGUUAUUAGGGAAGAACAUAUGUGUAAGUAACUGUGCACAUCUUGACGGUACCUAAUCAGAAAGCCACGGCUAACUACGUG
Molecule: ribosomal RNA, 497 nt
Filed under: uncultured bacterium
Lineage: Bacteria
Description: partial 16S ribosomal RNA
Rfam family: Bacterial small subunit ribosomal RNA
Source: RNAcentral